RNAcentral lists this ribosomal RNA (333 nucleotides) under uncultured bacterium. RNAcentral describes it as "bacterial SSU rRNA". It matches the Rfam family "Bacterial small subunit ribosomal RNA", at positions 32 to 346 of the family's 1533-position model. The record is from RNAcentral.
AAUCAACGCUGGCGGCGUGCCUCAGACAUGCAAGUCGAACGCGAAAGUCCCCUUCGGGGGAUGAGUAGAGUGGCGUCCGGGUGAGUAACACGUAGGUAAUCUACCUUUGGGUGGGAAUAACCCCGAGAAAUCGGGGCUAAUACCGCAUAAUGCAGCGGCACCACAUGGUGACAGUUGUUAAAGCGGGGGAUCGCAAGACCUCGCGCCUAAAGAGGAGCCUGCGGCGGAUUAGCUAGNGGUAGGGUAACGGCCUACCAAGGCAACGAUCCGUAGCCGGCCUGAGAGGGCGGUCGGCCACACUGACACUGAAAUACGGGUCAGACUCCUACGGGA